AGCAGGGGGAAUAACACAGGGCUGUGAAUGAGUCCUGUCACUGUGAUCAGGCUCCUCCUUCUAAUCCACCAACUUAGUGUUGAUGAAGACUAAACAGAGAGAUCACAGCUUCUUUAUACUUGCUGUAGCUCACAGUUACUCUACACUGCAGAUAUGACGCCUCUGUUCAUCUCAGUGCUGCUGGCUGCUAUGUGCCUCGAAUGCAGAGCACAAAAAGACAACGUGCUGCAAGCAAAAGGAGAAGAGACUGCUGCUGCAGGAGGCACAGUAACACUUCACUGUCUCUAUAACACCAGCUCAUCAAAUCAUUAUCUCUACUGGUACAAACAGGAUGGAAACAACAGCCCCAAAUUCAUCCUGAGUCGCUUUAAAGUUGGUGAAGGGAAAACAGAGGCUGGAGACAGAUUUUCAUCCACACUGGAUUCCAGCAUCAGAUCAGUUCCUCUGAAGAUCCAGAAGCUUCAGCUGUCUGACUCUGCUGUGUACUACUGUGCUCUGCAGCCCACAGUGACAGGAAACACCAAAACUCUGUACAAAAACCUUUGGAGCAAAGACAGACUGCUGGAGAAGGUAAUAACAAGGGCCGUGAACUCAGAAUCGGUGACUUGGGUCGCCAUGAUGCCACUGAUGGGCGUGGAGGUGACCGACUGA
Non-coding RNA from Oreochromis aureus, 651 nucleotides. The record is from the annotation of a RefSeq genome assembly. Lineage: Eukaryota; Metazoa; Chordata; Actinopteri; Cichliformes; Cichlidae.